RNAcentral lists this ribosomal RNA (253 nucleotides) under uncultured bacterium. RNAcentral describes it as "partial 16S ribosomal RNA". It matches the Rfam family "Bacterial small subunit ribosomal RNA", at positions 524 to 776 of the family's 1533-position model. The record is from RNAcentral.
GACGAGGGAUCCUAGCGUUGUUCGGAAUCAUUGGGCGUAAAGCGGGUGUAGGUGGCUUGGUAAGUCAGGUGUGAAAGCCCAGGGCUUAACCCUGGAAGUGCAUUUGAAACUGCCGAGCUUGAGUGUGGGAGAGGAUAGUGGAAUUCCUGGUGUAGUGGUGAAAUACGUAGAUAUCAGGAGGAACAUCGGUGGCGAAGGCGGCUAUCUGGCCCAACACUGACACUCAGACCCGAAAGCGUGGGGAUCAAACAGG